CGGUUAGGGGGAUGAUGUACUACUAUCGAGCUCUCAAAAUGCUGGCCUUUCUGGAUUCUGCUUGUGAGAUGGAUAUCAG
Non-coding RNA from Solanum lycopersicum (tomato), 79 nucleotides. Lineage: Eukaryota; Viridiplantae; Streptophyta; Magnoliopsida; Solanales; Solanaceae. The record is from Rfam.